Molecule: transfer RNA, 71 nt
Filed under: Marmota monax (woodchuck)
Lineage: Eukaryota; Metazoa; Chordata; Mammalia; Rodentia; Sciuridae
Description: tRNA.Ala
Source: RNAcentral
GAGGUUGUGGCUCGGAGGUAGAGCGCUCUCUUAGCACAAGUGAGGCACUGGGUUCGAUCCUCAGCACCACA